UACGAAGGGGGCUAGCGUUGUUCGGAAUCACUGGGCGUAAAGAGUACGUAGGCGGAUUAUUAAGUCAGGGGUGAAAUCCCGAGGCUCAACCUCGGAACUGCCUUUGAUACUGGUAAUCUUGAGUCCGGGAGAGGUGAGUGGAACUCCUAGUGUAGAGGUGAAAUUCGUAGAUAUUAGGAAGAACACCAGUGGCGAAGGCGGCUCACUGGCCCGGAACUGACGCUGAGGUACGAAAGCGUGGGGAGCAAACAGG
This 253-nucleotide ribosomal RNA is filed under the name uncultured bacterium. RNAcentral describes it as "partial 16S ribosomal RNA". It matches the Rfam family "Bacterial small subunit ribosomal RNA", at positions 524 to 776 of the family's 1533-position model. The record is from RNAcentral.